Molecule: transfer RNA, 76 nt
Filed under: Rhodospirillaceae bacterium
Lineage: Bacteria; Pseudomonadati; Pseudomonadota; Alphaproteobacteria; Rhodospirillales; Rhodospirillaceae
Description: tRNA-Ala
Rfam family: tRNA
About the family: Transfer RNA (tRNA) molecules are approximately 80 nucleotides in length.
Source: RNAcentral
GGGGCUGUAGCUCAGUUGGGAGAGCGUCUGGUUCGCAAUCAGAAGGUCGUCGGUUCGAUCCCGAUCAGCUCCACCA